This 654-nucleotide ribosomal RNA is filed under the name uncultured bacterium. RNAcentral describes it as "bacterial SSU rRNA". It matches the Rfam family "Bacterial small subunit ribosomal RNA", at positions 61 to 708 of the family's 1533-position model. The record is from RNAcentral.
GUCGAGGGGCAGCAUUUCUAGCUUGCUAGAAGAUGGCGACCGGCGGACGGGUGCGUAACGCGUAUGCAACUUACCUACAUCUUAGGAAUAACGUAAAGAAAUUUUCGCUAAUACCUUAUAGUAUCAUUGAUUCGCAUGUUUUAAUGAUUAAAGAAUUUCGGAUGUAGAUAGGCAUGCGUCCUAUUAGUUAGUUGGUGAGGUAACGGCUCACCAAGACGACGAUAGGUAGGGGGCCUGAGAGGGUGAUCCCCCACACUGGUACUGAGACACGGACCAGACUCCUACGGGAGGCAGCAGUGAGGAAUAUUGGUCAAUGGAGGCAACUCUGAACCAGCCAUCCCGCGUGAAGGAUUGAUGGCGCUCGACGUCGUAAACUUCUUUUAUAUAGGAAUAAACCUUGGUACGUGUACCAAGCUGAAGGUACUAUAUGAAUAAGCAUCGGCUAACUCCGUGCCAGCAGCCGCGGUAAUACGGAGGAUGCGAGCGUUAUCCGGAUUUAUUGGGUUUAAAGGGUCCGCAGGCGGACCAAUCAGUCAGUGGUGAAAUCCAAUCGCUUAACGAUUGAACUGCCAUUGAUACUGUUGGUCUUGAGUCUAGUUGACGUAGGCGGAAUGUGACAUGUAGCGGUGAAAUGCAUAGAUAUGUCACAGAACA